AAAUAUAAGCCUAUUAUAAAAAAUAAAUUGAUUUACGGAACAUCUUUCCAUUUAACCUGCCUCACAAAUCCAAUUCUUCCCUCAUCUAUCCUGAUUUCUCAUUUUCCCCAAAUUUCACCGCCCCAACUCCACGCCGCCUCCACCCAACCGCCGUCGCCCGUCCUGCCAUUGCUAUGCUACAUACAAAGUCGCAAAACAAAAACCCUACAAAACCAUACUUGUAAUAAGCCCUAUCACUUCCCAUCCAACCAGUCCGUCAACGCCGCUGCUCUCCACCACAACCCAGGCUAUUACUAGUCCGCCGCCCCUGUUACUCCAAUUGAGGCACUUGAUCAUUAUCAUCACCCUUUUUGACCCAACUCUAAUGGUGAGAAAACUGUACAGGUUUUGUAGGCUACCAGCCUCCUCAAGAUGGGAAAGUCUUCUGGAAAAUGGAUUAAGGGCAUUACUUUUGGUAAAAAAAAAAAGAAUCCAAUCUAGUCUGUUGCCAUCCUGAUUAAAUGAAGUUCUUACAAAGAUGAAGUUAAUCAAGAAAUGUAAUUUAGAGUACAUUGUUGUGAUAAGGAGCUCCAAGGAAAAUUGGAAAUGCUAGAUAAACAUUGUAGCUAUGUAGAGCAUUUUUUAUUGAUUUCAUUUUAAAAUUGUAUACUAUGAUUUUAUUGAAAUUAUUAUGUAAAUAAUUUUUUUAAAGUUUUUGUAUGUAAUUGAUUGUUUUGUA
Molecule: long non-coding RNA, 718 nt
Organism: Salvia splendens (bonfire salvia)
Lineage: Eukaryota; Viridiplantae; Streptophyta; Magnoliopsida; Lamiales; Lamiaceae
Exons: 4
Source: RefSeq, a predicted model, not a curated record